UCCGAUGAUGUUGCUCUUAACGCCGUGAAGACCAAAUCGAAGAGCGUCGUUUUUGACACCACCGAUCUCAUGAGCUAUCUUUUUCUCAGACUCCAUUGUUUACUUCGUUGUUGUUCUUCUUCUUCUUCUGGGUGUGUUUCGCUUCUUCUUGUAGCUCGCUCUGCGACUUUCGGGACAAGCAA
This 182-nucleotide small RNA is filed under the name Arabidopsis thaliana (thale cress). RNAcentral describes it as "ATSL067300". The record is from RNAcentral. Lineage: Eukaryota; Viridiplantae; Streptophyta; Magnoliopsida; Brassicales; Brassicaceae.